UACGGAGGGUGCGAGCGUUGUCCGGAAUCACUGGGCGUAAAGGGCGCGUAGGUGGCCUGUGGAAGUCUGCGGUGAAAGCCCGGCGCUCAACGCCGGGUCGGCCGUGGAUACUCACGGGCUCGAGCUUACUAGAGGCAGAUGGAAUUCCGGGUGUAGCGGUGGAAUGCGUAGAGAUCCGGAAGAACACCGGUGGCGAAGGCGGCUCUCUGGGCCUUACCUGACGCUGAGGAGCGAAAGCGUGGGUAGCGAACAGG
This 254-nucleotide ribosomal RNA is filed under the name uncultured bacterium. RNAcentral describes it as "partial 16S ribosomal RNA". It matches the Rfam family "Bacterial small subunit ribosomal RNA", at positions 524 to 776 of the family's 1533-position model. The record is from RNAcentral.